This 301-nucleotide ribosomal RNA is filed under the name uncultured bacterium. RNAcentral's name for it is "partial 16S ribosomal RNA". It matches the Rfam family "Bacterial small subunit ribosomal RNA", at positions 509 to 807 of the family's 1533-position model. The record is from RNAcentral.
CAGUAGCCGCGGGAAUACGAAGGGGGCUAGCGUUGCUCGGAAUCACUGGGCGUAAAGGGUGCGUAGGCGGGUCUUUAAGUCAGGGGUGAAAUCCUGGAGCUCAACUCCAGAACUGCCUUUGAUACUGAAGAUCUUGAGUUCGGGAGAGGUGAGUGGAACUGCGAGUGUAGAGGUGAAAUUCGUAGAUAUUCGCAAGAACACCAGUGGUGAAGGCGGCUCACUGGCCCGAUACUGACGCUGAGGCACGAAAGCGUGGGGAGCAAACAGGAUUAGAUACCCCAGUAGUCCCUGUCUCUUAUAC